RNAcentral lists this transfer-messenger RNA (355 nucleotides) under Pseudomonadota bacterium. It matches the Rfam family "transfer-messenger RNA". From Rfam's summary of the family: Bacterial tmRNA, also known as 10Sa RNA or SsrA, is named for its dual tRNA and mRNA-like properties. Its role is to liberate the mRNA from a stalled ribosome. To accomplish this part of the tmRNA is used as a reading frame that ends in a translation stop signal. The record is from RNAcentral. Lineage: Bacteria; Pseudomonadati; Pseudomonadota.
GGGGGCGCAAUGGUUUCGACAGGUGCGCUUGACUGGUAUAGGAGCAUGUUCGGGCUUGGAACACAUCCCGAUAAAAAGGUGUUCUGCUGCAUAAUUGGCAACAAUUUUGCACUAGCAGCCUAACCAUAGGCUGCCGCCGUCUUUAAGGGUGCUGGUCUCUUUUAGUUCGGUGUCGUUUACCAGCUAGCUUGUUGGCAUUUCCGUCUGUAGUGUCGAUAGGUUAAAUUAAUCAGGCUACGUCUUGUCACGACUGAACGUGGGAACGGCAAGAAGGAGAUUUAAACACGUUUCUAAACAUGUAGAGCCUCUGCUGGUGGCUAUUUGGACGUGGGUUCAAUUCCCACCGCCUCCAUUA